This 2507-nucleotide long non-coding RNA is filed under the name Olea europaea (common olive). RNAcentral describes it as "long non-coding RNA (OEUR_LNC013299)". The record is from RNAcentral. Lineage: Eukaryota; Viridiplantae; Streptophyta; Magnoliopsida; Lamiales; Oleaceae.
UUAUGUUGAUAAACUCAGUGACCCAAAUAGCUGAUUUAUUCUUUGUUUCUGGUUGCUUUUACAACAAAAAGUUUUCCACCCAACAUCAAUAGCAAUGGAAGCAUUUGCCUUGAUAUUCUUAAUGGUACAAUCAUACUACAUGUGCAUCAUUCUAUACAUCUUGGUUUGUAUUCUUCCUCAUGGAACCAUCUUCCUUUGAUUUUCCAGCAAUCUUUCACAUCACUGCCCAUACUGUGCUACAUAGCGGGAAUGUCAUCCAUGGUGCAUGGGAAAAUGUACAACUAGCAUUAUUGAUCUAAGGUAAUUAAUUUUUUUUCGUUAUAAUAAUGAGAUGACAUCAUUUAAUGAAUUGUGGCUAUACACGUUCAAACUUGGACUAAAUUAAUUUUAAUGUAUGGGUUUCCACACUUGAUAUAUCAUACAUUAUUCUCUGUGUUCGCGUUCCCAUUUAUGACUGGUUCCACAGUCUUAUGCAUUGGCUUCAUCAUUAAAAAAUGUAACAGAUUGCAAUGUAUGCUCGGGAUUCAUUUAGUUCUUUUUUGGUCAAUACACUAACUUGGUUCGGAAGACAGGAAAAAUAAAUCAGGGAUUUGGCUUGGGUUUUAGGUGAUUUUAAAAUUGGUAAUCAAAGUAAACUUAUUUUAUUACUUAGUUAUGAGAAAAAUUGUUGGGUUGAAGUCACCAAAGUAAACAACCGAUCCAAUAUGAUGAUUAUAAUUACAACACAUAAAAAAAAAAAAUCUUUUAAUAUGUUGAGGAAUAUCCCUAUCAAUAAUUAUCUAGGAAAUGGCGACAUUCCAUAUAUAGAAAUAAACUCCCGAGUAUGAUCUUCUCUUACUUUUCUUUAAACCAUUUUCCAAGUUGCAUGCACAUGUUGGAUUGCCAUUAUCGUAUACGAUAGAUCUUCACAUUUCAUAUGCCAAUAUUAUCGAGUUUAGAUUCUCAAAAUUUAAACUCUCUCUCCAGAUAUACUAUUAUUACCCUUUGACUGCUCCUUUGGACCUUACUAAGGUUUACAAUAACAUCCAAUGGAAUAGCACAAAGGCCCAACACGUUGACACAAUAAUUCAUAUGAGACGCGACUGGGUAAGUUCCUCAUUUUAAUUCCAUUAUGUCUUCUCAUUUCUUCAUGCACCUUAAAUGCUUCAUCUCUAUUUUUCAAAGAGUAAAAUCAUAUGUAAAUUGACCACAUUAAAUUAAGUUCAUUUUCCUUACCUCAUUGAAUACUAAUUUUACCUUCAAAAUAACUGUGCCCGUGUAGAAUACAUAAAAUUCAUGCAUGUAACACAAACCAACCCUUCCCCCCCCCCCCUUCAAACGCAUAAUUUAAUUCAUUUUUAAAUAUGUAGUGAUAUCUAUUAUUUAACAAGAGCACGUGCCCAUUUAUUUAUAUUAUAAGAUAUAACAUGAAUCACCAAAAUCAUUUCAAAAUAAAUUUAGUACCUUCCAAGAGCGUAAAUCAGAAGUGGGUGGAAAGAAAUUUGUUAUAUAUUUUCUUCGUGUGUUGAAAUAUUCUUGCAAUUACAAGAAACAGGGAAAUCAUUUUUAGUAAAGGAAUGCCUAAGGUUUCUUUCUAAUUUUAGGUCCUUUAUUUAAUGAUAAGAUUGCACUAAUUAAUUAAUUAUCGAAUUCAUUGGAUUCAAAAUUGUGCUAAUUACCAAAUUCAUUACAUUGAAUAUUGGGCUGAUUCCAUUCUUCUUUACUGUCCAAAUAAAAAUUCAAUCAAACGAAAAAUAUAUAAAUGUUAAGAUCAAGCCUAUGUUUAAUUUAUUUAAUAACAAAUUAUAACAUCAUAAGCUUAUUAUAAAAUAUCAUAUUAUGUGUUAUAUGUUCAAUUGAAUUGCAUUAUAAUUAACUUUAAUUGCCACGUCGAUCAUAAGGCGUCCAAGGUACACUCCAUUACAAAACAUGGUUAUUCACAAAGACAAUAAAUUAACAUUUCGCAUCAUACAUAUAUGUAAAUUGAAGAAAAGAAAGUGCGGCGUUACAAAAGGAAUCUCAUCUUUUGGGUAUUAAAAUUUAUUUUAAUUUCACUAUUUAUUUAAUACCAACUCUAAUAUUUUUUUGUAUUCGUUUAGCUUUAUUUUACAUGAAAUUUGUUAGUUUAAGGGAUAUCCUCUUUUACAAUUAUUCUUAUAAUUUGUUUCCAUUGCAAAAAAUAAAAUAAAAUAAAAUAAAAAAGGUGGAAAAAAUAAAACCACCUACCCAAGGAAAAAUGAAUUCCCCAAAAAUAAGGAAUUGGUGCACGUGUGAGUCAAAGGUGGAAAACCAAUUGUCUAGAAAAUUUUUACUAUCAAACAAGCCAAAAGUGAGACAUGAAAUUUGUUUUCCAUUUUCCAUGGAAAAUUUUGCGAUAUCAAACAUGGCCAAAGUGUAUUUUUUAUAAUUAUUUUUUUAUACUUAUAACAAGAAAUUUCAAUAAUUAAUUGUUUGGUAGAUAUUUUGUUAAUUGAUUUUUUGACCGUUAGAGAUAAAGUGAGUCCCACCUGUGAGAAUAAUUCAAAAAU